AGGGUGUAAACGCUGCGGGCUUGGUGUUGGGGGUCCUUUGAGGGCGCCCAGUGCCGGAGAGAAGUUGUUAAGCCUGCUGCUUGGGGAGUACGUCCGCAAGGAUGAGACUUAAAGGAAUUGGCGGGGGAGCACCGCAACGGGAGGAGCGUGCGGUUCAAUUGGAUUCAACGCCGGACAACUCACCAGGAGCGACGGUUACAUGAAGGCCAGGCUGAAGACUCUACUUGAUGAUCUGAGAGGAGGUGCAUGGCGUCAGUGACU
This 261-nucleotide ribosomal RNA is filed under the name uncultured archaeon. RNAcentral describes it as "partial 16S ribosomal RNA". It matches the Rfam family "Archaeal small subunit ribosomal RNA", at positions 748 to 1008 of the family's 1478-position model. The record is from RNAcentral.